This 986-nucleotide long non-coding RNA is filed under the name Pan paniscus (pygmy chimpanzee). RNAcentral's name for it is "lncRNA (ENSPPAG00000045327.1)". Lineage: Eukaryota; Metazoa; Chordata; Mammalia; Primates; Hominidae. The record is from RNAcentral.
AUUAAUAUAUGUGUGUUAAUGCACUUGUUCAUUGAGUAAAAAAUAUAAAUUUUACUGUCUGAAUUCUGCUCUCUAGGAAUUGUCAUGAAUUUGGUACUAUUAUUGCCUUGCCAGACUAGGCUAGUUGUCUUUACCCUACUCCCAACUGUGUAAGGCAUUAUAUGUCAAAUAUUUGUCACCAAAGCCAGUGGUGGCAAGCAAUUCAAAGGUUUUUCACUCUCAGGCAUAGGCAAAGUGAGUUUGGAGACCACAAAUGAGAAGAAGGGAGAGCAGGAGAGGAAAGGAGAGAAUAGGGGAGGGGAGAAGACGGAAGAAAUGUAUGAUAGAAUACUAUCUGCUGCAUUUUUGAGGGCUGAUGGUGAACUAAUAUUGUGUGUCUUUUCCUAGUAGGAGUGGGCAUUGGAGAUUGAAGCUGAGAUCAAUGGCAGACAGGGCAGCAUGGCUUGCACAUGAUUUAUCUGUUCGGCAUAGCAGAAGUGAUUGAAACAGGGAUGGGUGGAAGCUUACUCAAGAUGAGAUACUCCAUGAAAAUCUUUUCCCAAAUAUUUGGGUCUUCCAUAUUGAUACCCAUCCUUACCGCCUGUCUCACAGGGAAAGAUGACUUAGAUGUGGAAACUGAGACUGAGAGAGGCUGAAGCACAUGCUGACGGCAACUGGAAUCCAAAGCCUGCCCACUAGAAUGUGGAUAUUGUCAUCCUCGCCUAAAAUGUUCAACUGGUGCUCAUUGAUUGGGUGCCUACUCUGUUACUAUGUAUCAGGCACUAUCAAACUUUCUGCCCAUUUUUUUUAAGUCUUUAUGACAUUCCCUGUGAAAUGGGUACUCUCAUUAGUCAACUCUGUAAUUCUCUCAAAUUCAAAAUGAAAUGAUUUUUUUAAAGUUGUGAAUAAAGUGAACACUCCUUUUUUCUUUUUAUUUAUUCCCCAUAUUAUUUGUUAUUUCUGAGCACUCUUUUUGGAGGAAGAUGUCUUCAUGGCUUACAUAUAUU